RNAcentral lists this ribosomal RNA (443 nucleotides) under uncultured bacterium. RNAcentral's name for it is "partial 16S ribosomal RNA". It matches the Rfam family "Bacterial small subunit ribosomal RNA", at positions 338 to 795 of the family's 1533-position model. The record is from RNAcentral.
CCUACGGGAGGCAGCAGUGGGGAAUAUUGGGCAAUGGGCGCAAGCCUGACCCAGCAACGCCGCGUGAAGGAAGAAGGCUUUCGGGUUGUAAACUUCUUUUCUCAGGGACGAAGAAAGUGACGGUACCUGAGGAAUAAGCCACGGCUAACUACGUGCCAGCAGCCGCGGUAAUACGUAGGUGGCAAGCGUUAUCCGGAUUUACUGGGUGUAAAGGGCGUGUAGGCGGGGGAGCAAGUCAGAUGUGAAAACUACGGGCUCAACCUGUGGCCUGCAUUUGAAACUGUGUUUCUUGAGUGCUGGAGAGGCAGACGGAAUUCCUAGUGUAGCGGUGAAAUGCGUAGAUAUAAGGAGGAACACCAGUGGCGAAGGCGGUCUGCUGGACAGUAACUGACGCUGAGGCGCGAAAGCGUGGGGAGCAAACAGGAUUAGAUACCCGAGUAGUC